UCCGCCUCAGACCUGGGUACCAGCGCGCCAGGCGGUUGCCGGGCUGAUUUGUGCUAUAUUUGGGCAGGUGUUUGGAGUUCUUUACCAGCUCACUCUGAAAGUUACCUGUUUUCCCGGCUUGUUUAGCUGAAACAGCGGCAACGAUUAGUCCCCUACAUAUCACUGAUGUCCAGACUCCGUGCGUUUUACCCUCUGAUCAGCUAGGACGUCUUUCUUUUAAAAAUAAGGCGUUUAUUAUUAUUUUAAAAAGUAGUGCUAGUGUUGUACAGUGAGGAUAGACUAGGAAGGAAAGAGUGGACCGCGCUGUCUGCCUGCAGAAAAACGGAUGCCUCGUUACAGGAGAGUGAGUGCACUAGCCAUAGCUAUGCGCCGAGAGUACACGGAUGCACGCGCUGUCCCGGCUCAUUUCUUCCAUAAGCGGGUAUUGCAUGUCUGCUCCCGGCGAGGAGCUGUGCCCAAGGACGCACAGAUGCCGAAGGAGUCCUGGACCCGCGGGGAGCUGGGCCCCUGGCGGGGGAAGACAGGCCUCCCCAUUAACCUUGAGAAAUGUGGAACAAGAGGAAAAUCGUUAAGCCUCUUCCCAGAGGAGGAUACUCACAUCUGAAGCGGCCUUCUGUCAGGACGCCCACUCCUCAACACGCUCGCAACCCAUUCCAGUAUCCAAGAAGGCUGCCAGGUGACACUUUAUUUGGAGCCAGACAGAGACCCCCCCUGGGUGGGCUUCCAGGAGAAGAGGUGAAACCUGUUUGAAAUGGAAAGGAGAUCUCCCUAACUGUUUGGAAAAGAUGAUCCAUUCCCAACUGCUUAAUUAGUAUCUAAAUCGCAAAUUAGUAUCUUAUAUCACCCUUUAUGGGGGAGGACAGCCUUGUAAAAUAUGCUUGGUCAAGUGGGUUUGCGAAAUAUCCACCUCUCUUCAUUCCUUUGGGGGAAUACCGAUGAUGUUCUGAGUGGGCUGCUGAAAAUGUACCACAGGACGUCACUUUGGCUCACCUAGACAUAAGUUUGCUCUCUAAAUUAUAAACAAGUUUUCAAACAGAAAUGCAGUUGGGAAGUUUACUAGCGCAAUACUUUCAAUACUUCCCUCAGGAGUAGGUAAAAAGGACACUGUGGUUUUCUUUAAUGAUCCUCUCAGCAUUUUAAAACAAGACAGAGCACUUUGAUGAGCCAUCAGAGAUCACAUAUCCCUAAGCAGACUGCUUAAAGUGGAAUAUGAAUGGUCCCCACUUGCCCAUGAUUGUGCAGGAACAGGCAUCAGAAUGGCUUUCCUGUUGUGUCCUACUUAACCCAUCCUGGUCACCCUGGGGUGAUGCAGGGAAAUCA
Bubalus bubalis (water buffalo) is the source of this 1320-nucleotide long non-coding RNA. RefSeq lists it as uncharacterized. The record is from RefSeq and is a predicted model, not a curated record. NCBI's taxonomy places the organism in Eukaryota, Metazoa, Chordata, Mammalia, Artiodactyla, Bovidae. The transcript has 3 exons.